Molecule: ribosomal RNA, 497 nt
Filed under: uncultured bacterium
Lineage: Bacteria
Description: partial 16S ribosomal RNA
Rfam family: Bacterial small subunit ribosomal RNA
Source: RNAcentral
GAUGAACGCUGGCGGCGUGCCUAAUACAUGCAAGCCGAGCGAACAGACGAGGAGCUUGCUCCUUUGACGUUAGCGGCGGACGGGUGAGUAACACGUAGGUAACCUACCUAUAAGACUGGGAUAACUUCGGGAAACCGGAGCUAAUACCGGAUAAUAUUUGGAACCGCAUGGUUCGAUAGUGAAAGAUGGCUUUGCUAUCACUUAUAGAUGGACCUGCGCCGUAUUAGCUAGUUGGUAAGGUAACGGCUUACCAAGGCAACGAUACGUAGCCGACCUGAGAGGGUGAUCGGCCACACUGGAACUGAGACACGGUCCAGACUCCUACGGGAGGCAGCAGUAGGGAAUCUUCCGCAAUGGGCGAAAGCCUGACGGAGCAACGCCGCGUGAGUGAUGAAGGUCUUCGGAUCGUAAAACUCUGUUAUUAGGGAAGAACAAACGUGUAAGUAACUGUGCACGUCUUGACGGUACCUAAUCAGAAAGCCACGGCUAACUACGUG